Molecule: long non-coding RNA, 2084 nt
Filed under: Homo sapiens (human)
Lineage: Eukaryota; Metazoa; Chordata; Mammalia; Primates; Hominidae
Description: HSALNT0309597
Source: RNAcentral
UCAUGCCACUGUACUCCAGUCUGGCCAAAGAGCAAGAAUCCGUCUCAAAAAAAAAAUCAAAUCAAAUCAACGUGCCAUCUUAUUGUUUAUCACGAUUCUGUGCGUCAGGAGUUUGGACAGGGCAUAUCAGCAUAUCAGGGACAGUUUGUCCCUAAUCCAUCCCCCGCCCCUACAAAAAAAAGAAAAGAAAAGAAAAAGAAAGAAUCUUCCAUUCGAACCAUAGGGGGCUUACCUGGAGACCCUCCCAUAAAUAAUGAAAGCCACUACCGGCUGUAAUCUUCCAGUAACAAAUAAAAGAUCCCCUAACGUCUCAACUCCAUUUUAAAUCACAGUAAAGUGAUCAUUAAACUAUCUUAUUAAGAAGAAAUUAAUUACCAAAUUAUCUAUAUAGUUCAGAAUGUGUGACUUCGGAGUGAAAAGAAAUAUGUAGAAUUUUUCUCACCAUGAAAAUCUCAAAGUUAAAUGUUAAAGAAGGUGUACUCUAUAUUGUUGAUAAUUCAAGCCCAUCUCCUAAAUGUGUUUUCAUAUGAUCUGUGUUUUCAGCGAUAAAGAAAAGCUAAGUCAAAUCAUAGCCAUGUGAGGAAGCACACACAUCCAUGAUGGUCUCUUGGGUUUUCUGGCUACAGUAUGUUCCUUAAUGACAAUCAGUGAACCAUGGGACCCAUGGCAUAGCCUGGCACUUACACACCUGCGGAGAUCCUGCCAAACUGUGCCGUCUACUAAAGAGUACAGUCAGCCCAUGUUCCAAGACAAUGGGCCAAUUCCACCGAGCUGGGACCUCUUCUGGAAAUGCUUGAGGCCAUGCUGUAUUUAACUUCCCGGGGCCAGGGCCUGCCUGACACUCAGUGGGCACACAACAACUGGAUGAAUGAAUGGAUGAGUCAACAGUGGGGCUGGGGUGGGAAGGUUAUAAGAAGGUAGUGGGAGAAGAUGCUGAAACAGGCAACUAGAAAUGCAUUUCUAAGGACCUGAUAUGCAGAGAAGAGUGGCAAGUGUGAAGUUGUCCUUAAGGCAAUGGGGGGUUAUUCAAAUUGAAUAGAGAAGUGAAGAGAUCUAUGCUUUGGAAAGAUACCUGGGGUGGUUAGAAGAUACAGGUCAUUUCUACCUGGACACUCAAGAAAGGGAGUGUGCAGGGGUGUGGGGAGCGGAGGGGCUGGGAAAGAGCCUCAGGGGCUGAACUCAGCAGCCUGGUUCCAGCGGUUUCCCGAGAAGCACACAUAUAUUUUGUUUUGAGACUCCCAUAUCUAAAACUGUCCCUCUACCCUUUUACUGGAUUAGUAUUUUGGCAGCACACAGAAUUCUAGGCUAAUUAUGUGUCAUCUGAUGAUUCUAAGCUACCAAAAUGAGUUCUGAUAAGGUGAUACAAGCUCAGUGAUACAGUUUUAGCUAAACUCCGAAAAUUUCUUUAAUGUACGUUCCAUCUUCCCAUAAGCACGGCGACCCCACAAGGAGAAAUUCAUUAUCCUUGUUCUAGAAGAGGCUUUCAUCAUUUUUUUUGCCACUACCUUUAAAAUCAGCACUUAGCUAUUCACCCCAAAUCUACCGAUUCCCACCCAUCCUUCACAUGGAUGCUGCAUUUAUGAACAAGUCUGGUCCAGCUACUUCCACAUUUCAACAGGACAAAUUCUAAACCAUCAGAGUAAUUUUCCAAUCAGAACAAAUACUAACAAGGAAGUGACACACAGCAGUCCGUCCUCUGCUUCCUAACAGGACUCUAUGAGAACAUGGUGAUGUCCUACCACAAAGAAAGCAACACCUGAUUAUCAAUAACUUCUCUGGUCCGGCCAAGGAUGAGCAAGGAACAAAGAGCUUUUAGAACAUUAAGCAUACAUCUAAAUUUAUUUGACCUGAGCUACACCGUUGCACAGCUUAAAUAUAAACAUACCUUGCCACAGCACUGUAAAUUACUUGGCCGAGCAACUCUACCCACCGUCAGAAGGGGCAGGAAUGAUUUCAGCAAAUCUGUGGUGUGCUUGCUGCACUAAAGCUGAUUUACACUUCUCCAAAAAAAUAAAAAACCACCAAGAAUCACACUGACAGAAGAUCUCUUUGAGUUUGCUUACUUGGCUUAAAACUGGUAAUGA